RNAcentral lists this long non-coding RNA (2788 nucleotides) under Homo sapiens (human). Its description in RNAcentral is "uncharacterized LOC125312414, transcript variant 1 (LOC125312414)". The record is from RNAcentral. Lineage: Eukaryota; Metazoa; Chordata; Mammalia; Primates; Hominidae.
AGUCUCCAUAAUCUAAUCUCCAGAAUGCACUAAACCAGGAGAAGAUCCACCUGGAAUGGAAGAAUAUUAAGGAGAACAAGUCCUCAUCUCUCCAAAGACCCUUCAUCCUUCAUUUCACAAUAGUCUUUAUUGGUCUGCUGGAGUUUGCUGGAGGUCCACUCCAGACCCUGUUUGCCUGGGUAUCACCGGCAGAGGCUGCAGAGCAGCAAAGAUUGCUGCCUGCUCCUUCCUCUGGAAGCUUCAUCCCAAAGGGGCACCCGCCUGAUGCCAGCCAGAGCUCUCCUGUACGAGAGAUGCCCUGCCCAGUGAGGAGGAAUCUAGAGAAGCAGUCUGGCCAUAGCUUUGCUGCACUGCGCACUUCUCCUUGCUGCCGCCAUGUGAAGAAGAAUGUGUUUGCUUCCCCUUCCGCCAUGAUUGUCAUGACAUUUUGAGCACAAUUGUGUGUGGGAUGCAUUCAUCAAUAGAGCUGGAAGCACCAACCACCAUAGGAGAGGAAACUUUUAGUUACAAGCACAUGAAUAAAUAAAAUCAAACUCAACUGGAAUGACGUUCCUGAGGAUGGAGAUACAUUUUUUUGUUGACCCAUCUAAACUUGAACAGCAAGUGAUAAUCAGUCUCCAAUCAGAAAGUCCCAGGACUUAUAGGAGCAGAAAUCAGAAGACUUUACUCCACACACUUCAGGUGGACAUGUGGACAAAGCCAUCGGAGAACAUGACAAAAAUACAGCAAGAGCAGAGACAAGAUCAGAUCAUCCUGGGGGCAGAUGCUGGGCUCUGACCAAUUUGAGAGAGAAAAGGAAAAAGAACCCAGCUACAAGAUGCACAAGUAGCAGGCCACAGCCACCAACAUCAGCAGAGCAAUUGGAGGCCAGGAAGACAAGGACACUUCUGAAGAGACUGAAAAAAGCAGAAGACAGUCCAAGUCACUGCAAGGUUCCAAGGUCUCUUUUUUCAUUACUGUUACAAGUACCAAGUAAGCCAAAAUCCACCCUACUCUUCAAAACCAUCUUGAAGAGUUGCAGGUCAGGGUUGCUGCAUCUGAGCAUGUUUACUCACAAAAGGUGACAGAUGCUCCUCAACUUACAAUGAGAUUACAUCCUGAUAAAUGUGUCAUAAGUUGAAAGUAUCUUAUAAGUCGAAAAUGCAUUUACUACAGCCUAACCCACUGAACAUUGUAGCUUAGGCUAGCCUACCUUAAAACGUGAUCAGGACACUUCCCUCAGCCUACAUUUGGGCAAAAUCACCUAACACGAAGCCUAUUUUAUAAUAGAGCAUUGAAUAGCUCAAAUAAUUUAUUGAAUACUGUACAUUACAUAGAAUUUGUGACAGUUUUACACCAUCAUUAUGUCAAAAAAUCAUUAAGUUGAGCCACCAUAACUCAGGGACUGUCUGUAUUUAUAUUUUUACUUCACACUAAGCUUUGAAACUGAAAUUUUUGCUCCUCAGCAGAUGGGGUUUCUGAGAAAGACCAAAUUAGUUAUAGAGCACUAGCUCCCAAAAAAAAAAAAAAAAAAAAACAGAAGAAGUCAGAGGAGGAGGGCAACAUGGAGCAGAGGAAGAAGGAGAGAAAAAGCAAGAAACCAUUAUCGCUCCCUCAUCUGAACUGCACUGCGAGUAAGCUGGGGCUUCCACCACAGUGUCCUGGAAGCCAUGUUUGCUGCCCAUUUCUGGACUCUCCAGCCACACUGGCCUCCUUUCCCUUUCUCAAACCUGCUGUGGUUCCUGCCACUUCAAGAUAAUCUCUUAACAAUCUAUUCCUUCUGCCUGGAAUGCUCUUCCUCCCACCCAACCCCGCUCUGCCCAGCUAACUCCAUUCUUUGGCCCCUGCAUCACUUUCCCAAGGAAGCCAUUUCUGGACUUCCCUGACCCCUGCCUUCCAUCUUCACUGGCCCAGAGUUCCCUACCCUAUGGUCUCAUUGCUCCCUCCCAGGCACUGCUGCCUCCCAGGACUCUUCCCUGUCGGUAAUAUAGUUCUGUUUGAUUGUUCAGUUAAUUUUGCCUCCCCUGAAGACCAUAAGCCAUGUUGGCAAUGAUGGUUUUGCUCACCAUUGCACCUCCAGUGUCUAAAAACCAUGGGCAGGUCAAUUCAUUUUUGUUGAGUAAAGGAAUUGUUCAAUAAGUGCACAAAUAAAUUCACAUUAAAACUUGUCCAAAAACAAAGGAGUUUUCUUGUGAGAAGCAGCUGCUCAUUCUGGGGCAUUCAAGUGCAGUGAGAUGACAACGAUGACCAUUGGAGAUGCUUUCAAAGUGAUGCCGGCACUAGACAGAUGGCUGGAGUGUGUACCCUUUAAGGACUCACCUAUCUCAGAAGUCAUGUGUGUUUCUGUAUGUGUAAAUGCACAAACAGACUGGAAGGAUAUGUGUUCAGCGUCUUUUCAGACUGUGAAGGUCCCUGCAACCAGAAGGAGAGCUGUCUUCAGGAAAGGAUGAAGGGAACGAGCAUCUGUCUGUGACUCUGGUGGUUGUGCAGGCAGGUCACCUCAAGGUGGAGUGACACUGUGGUGGGACAGGUGGAGCACCAGUGAGGAAGCUCUCAUGGGCCUGAGCCAACUGAAUUAAUUAAGACCAAGAACAGUAAAGGGACCCAGAGGGCAAACUCUGAGAGGCAGUCAUAAGCAGCACCCUCUCCCCAAACUGUAUUACUCAUUCCCACAGAAGUGUGUGUCUGCUUGCCUUUAAUCUGUUCUGACUGUAAGCCAUUUUGAGACAUCCCAGUCCCAAUGAUGGCCACCAUGUUCUGCAUUGAAUAGAUGCUUGACAUACAUCCAAUUAGUAAAAGCGAGUGAACU